RNAcentral lists this ribosomal RNA (701 nucleotides) under uncultured archaeon. RNAcentral describes it as "bacterial SSU rRNA". It matches the Rfam family "Archaeal small subunit ribosomal RNA", at positions 212 to 914 of the family's 1478-position model. The record is from RNAcentral.
GGCCUGCGGCGUAUCAGGUCGUAGGGGGUGUAACGUACCCUCUAGCCAUCGACGCGUACGGGUGUUGGGAGACAUAGCCCGGAGAUGGAUUCUGAGACACGAAUCCAGACCCUACGGGGUGCAGCAGGCGCGAAAACUUGGCAAUGCGAGAAAUCGUGACCAGGGAACUCCAAGUGGCUGGGGUAAGACCCAGUCUUUUCUUGACUCUUCAAAGGUCUUGGAAUAAGGGGUGGGUAAGGACGGUGCCAGCCGCCGCGGUAAUACCGGCGCCUCAAGUGGUAGUCGAUUUUAUUGGGCCUAAAACGUCCGUAGCCUGUUUGGUACAUUCGUGGGUAAAUCAACCAGCUCAACUGAUUGAAUUCUGCGAGCACGGCCAGACUUGGGACCGGGAGAGGUGUGGGGUACGCUCAGGGUAGGGGUAAAAUCCUGUCAUCCUGAGCGGACCACCUGUUGCGAAGGCGCCACACUAGAACGGAUCCGACGGUCAGGGACGAAGCCUAGGGGCACGAACCGGAUUAGAUACCCGGGUAGUCCUAGGUGUAAACGCUGUGGACUUGGUGUUGGGGACUCUCCGAGAUUCCUCAGUGCCGAAGCGAAGGUGAUAAGUCCACUGCCUGGGGAGCACGGUCGCAAGGCUGAAACUUAAAGGAAUUGGCGGGGGAGCACCGCAACCUGAGGAUUGUGCGGUUUAAUUGGAGUCA